AGCUGGUCCGAAGAUGGUGGGUUAUCUCAAUUGAUCAUUCACAGUCAGUUACAGAUGGAAUUCCUUCUUCUGUUUUUCCCCUUCUUACUACUGCACUUGACUAGUCUUCA
Unclassified non-coding RNA from Prolemur simus (greater bamboo lemur), 110 nucleotides. It matches the Rfam family "Y RNA". From Rfam's summary of the family: Y RNAs are components of the Ro ribonucleoprotein particle (Ro RNP), in association with Ro60 and La proteins. The Y RNAs and Ro60 and La proteins are well conserved, but the function of the Ro RNP is not known. In humans the RNA component can be one of four small RNAs -- hY1, hY3, hY4 and hY5. The record is from Ensembl. NCBI's taxonomy places the organism in Eukaryota, Metazoa, Chordata, Mammalia, Primates, Lemuridae.